GUAGGUGAACCUGCGGAAGGAUCAUUAACGAAUAACUAUGGUGUCUUGGUUGUAGCUGGCUCCUCGGAGCAUUGUGCACGCCCGCCAUUUUUAUCUAUCCACCUGUGCACCGACUGUAGGUCUGGAUGACUCUCGUGCUCUCUGAGUGCGGAUGCGAGGAUUGCCCUCUUUGAGGUGUCUCUCCUCGAAUUUCCAGGCUCUACGUCUUUUUACACACCCCACAAGUAUGAUAUAGAAUGUAGUCAAUGGGCUUGAUCGCCUAUAAAACACUAUACAACUUUCAGCAACGGAUCUCUUGGCUCUC
Molecule: unclassified non-coding RNA, 304 nt
Filed under: rhizosphere metagenome
Description: partial ribosomal RNA internal transcribed spacer region
Source: RNAcentral